Gorilla gorilla gorilla (western lowland gorilla) is the source of this 1755-nucleotide long non-coding RNA. RefSeq lists it as uncharacterized. NCBI's taxonomy places the organism in Eukaryota, Metazoa, Chordata, Mammalia, Primates, Hominidae. The transcript is spliced from 6 exons. The record is from RefSeq and is a predicted model, not a curated record.
AAGUGGUUGCUGCCCUUGACUACUAUGAAGACUGGUGUGGGAAGGGUCGCUUUGGAUGCACUUGAGCUGGGGUCCCCAACCCCUGAGCCAUGGAGCCGUAAGGAGCCACACAGCAGGUGAGUGGUGUCGAGUGAGGGAGUGAGGGAAGCUUCGUCUGUAUUUACAGCCACUCCCCUUUGCUCACAUUCCCGCCUGAGCUCCACCUUCUCAGAUGAGCAGCAGCGUUAGAUUCUCAUAGGAGAACGCACCCUGUUGUGAACCGUGCAUGUGAGGGAUCUAGGUUGCGCUGUUCUUAUGAGAAUCUAAUACCUAUUGAUCUGUCACUUUCUCCCAUCACGCUCAGGUGGGACCAUCCAGUUUCAGGAAAACAAGCUUAACACGCCCACUGAUUCUACAUUAUGCUCCUACCUCCCGGCAGCCUGGCCAGGCCCAGAACUCUCUCCAGUCAGCCUCUACAGACCAAGCUCAUGACUCACAAUGGCCUAUUUAGGCCCAUACCCUACCUCACGGCAGUCUCCGCAGAUGAGCCUACUGCCUCACAACAGCCUCCACAGGCACAGCUCCGUCGUUCCAAUGGCCUCUUUAGACCCAGCUCCUGCCUCCCAGCCUUCUCUCCAGGCCCUGAACUUUCUCCGUGGGACCAUCCAGUUUCAGGAAAACAAGCUUAACACGCCCACUGAUUCUACAUUAUGCUCCUACCUCCCGGCAGCCUGGCCAGGCCCAGAACUCUCUCCAGUCAGCCUCUACAGACCAAGCUCAUGACUCACAAUGGCCUAUUUAGGCCCAUACCCUACCUCACGGCAGUCUCCGCAGAUGAGCCUACUGCCUCACAACAGCCUCCACAGGCACAGCUCCAUCGUUCCAAUGGCCUCUUUAGACCCAGCUCCUGCCUCCCAGCCUUCUCUCCAGGCCCUGAACUUUCUCCGUGGGACCAUCCAGUUUCAGGAAAACAAGCUUAACACGCCCACUGAUUCUACAUUAUGCUCCUACCUCCCGGCAGCCUGGCCAGGCCCAGAACUCUCUCCAGUCAGCCUCUACAGACCAAGCUCAUGACUCACAAUGGCCUAUUUAGGCCCAUACCCUACCUCACGGCAGUCUCCGCAGAUGAGCCUACUGCCUCACAACAGCCUCCACAGGCACAGCUCCAUCGUUCCAAUGGCCUCUUCAGACCCAGCUCCUGCCUCCCAGCCUUCUCUCCAGGCCCUGAACUUUCUCCGUAAGUUGAGGUAGCUGGGACUGUAGGUAUACAUGACGAUACUUGGCUAAUUUUUAAAUUGUUUUGCAGACAUGGGGUCUCACUUUGUUGGCCAGGCUGGUGUGAAACUAAUGGCCUCAAGUGACCCUUCCACCCCUGCCUCCCAUCCUCGAGGUAUGUGCCACCACAAGGAGCACUUGUUCAAUUUUCUAAAGAAAAAAUUUCUAAAGUAAGGCUGUGGGAUGAUGGCAGGAAGAUAAAAGAAAAACAGAAGAAUAAGUUAGAAUGACUUAUUCACACAUAUUUUUUGACAGCAAGAAGAACUGUUAGUAUAUACAUUCCUUACAAACAAACAAACGGCAGAUAAACAAUGUUGUAUAGGAACUUCAGCACACACUGUACAAUAUUCCCACUUUGCUGACAUAAGUUAUGGAAAUUUCGUGGUUUACUUGAGUGUCGCUACCAGUAUUUUGCUCUUCUGACGAUUUUUAUCAACUUCCUCAUCUGUUAACUUCUCUCCAAAGUAUGUCAUGACACGACAUACUGCCGCUGCACGAACA